This 258-nucleotide long non-coding RNA is filed under the name Nicotiana benthamiana. Its description in RNAcentral is "long non-coding RNA (NBEN_LNC001382)". Lineage: Eukaryota; Viridiplantae; Streptophyta; Magnoliopsida; Solanales; Solanaceae. The record is from RNAcentral.
UUAGUGCAUAAAUAUUUCUAGUUCCUUAGAAUUACUCCAGUAACUUUCACACACAUAAAUUAUACGCAAAAAAGAAAAUCAUGUUUAACCUGCAUCCAGUCAUGCUUCAUGCUGGCCACUAUGUGAAAUGCAGUUCUAGAAAUAUUUGGCUUCCUUCCCCCAAAUAAACCUACAUUAUAAGUUGAUAUUCUUCACGGUGGACUCCAACAAGCUAAAAGCAAUCUUGUAUUGACUGAACAAGACAACAACAACAACAAC